Molecule: RNA transcript, 3012 nt
Organism: Fragaria vesca subsp. vesca
Lineage: Eukaryota; Viridiplantae; Streptophyta; Magnoliopsida; Rosales; Rosaceae
Gene name: pre-mRNA-splicing factor SLU7-A-like
Exons: 10
Source: RefSeq, a predicted model, not a curated record
AUGGCUACGGCGUCAGUGGCUUUCAAGUCGAGGGAGGACCAUAGGAAGCAAAUUGAAUCGGAGGAAGCGCGUAAAGCUGGGCUAGCACCAGCUGAAGUUGAUGAAGAUGGGAAGGAGAUCAAUCCUCAUAUUCCGCAGUUUAUGUCAUCUGCUCCUUGGUAUCUCAAUGCUGAGAAGCCGAGCUUGAAACAUCAAAGGAAGUGGAAACCAGAUCCUUUUACAAAAUCUUGGUAUGACAGAGGUGCAAAGAUAUUUUUGGCUGAUAAGUACGGACAGGGGCUUGUGAAAACUGUGGGGCCAUGACACAUAAUGUAAAGUCCUGCAUGGAGUGGCCUAGAAAGAAAGGAGCAAAAUGGAUUAGCAUGCACAUUGCGCCUGAUGAAAAGAUACAGAUUUUUAAGCUAGAUUAUGAUGGCAAAAGGGAUAGAUGGAAUGGGUUUGAUGCAUCAACUUAUGCUCCUGUCAUUGAGAGAUACGAAGCAAGGGAUGAGGCAAGAAGGAAAUUCCUAAAAGAGCAGCAGCUGAAAAGGUUAGAGGAGAAAAAUAGUAAGCAAAGUGGAGAGGGGGAGGUCAUUGAUGAUGAUGAAUAUGAAGAUGUUCUGAAGGUCGAUGAGGCCAAGGUUGAUGAAAGCAAACAAAUGGAUUUUGCAAAGGUUGAGAAGCGUGUUCGCACAACCAGUGGUGGAAGCACAGGAACUGUCAGAAAUUUGCGUAUUCGGGAGGACACAGCCAAGUAUCUUUUGAACCUUGAUGUCAACUCUGCUUAUUAUGAUCCCAAAACUCGGUCCAUGCGUGAAGAUCCUCUUCCUGAUGCUGACCCGAAUGAGAAGUUUUAUGCAGGAGAUAACAGAUACAGAGCGAGUGGGCAAGCUUUAGAGUUCAAGCAGCUCAAUAUUCAUGCAUGGGAAGCAUUUGAAAAAGGACAAGACGUUCACUUGCAAGCUGCUCCAUCUCAAGCAGAAUUGCUUUUUAAGAACUAUAAGGUCAUUAAGGAGAAGUUGAAGUCAAAAAUGAAAGAUGCCAUUAUGGAGAAGUAUGGGAAUGCUGCAACUACUUAAGAAAUUCCUAAAGAGCUUCUUUUCGGACAAACAGAGACAGAAGUUGCAUAUGAUGGUGCGGGAAGAGUUAUAAAGGGCAUGGAGACAUCCUUGCCAAAAAGCAAGUAUGAGGAGGAUGUUUACAUCAAUAACCACACAAGUGUCUGGGGGUCAUGGUGGAAGGAUUACCAAUGGGGCUACAAGUGUUGCAAGCAAACAAUUCGUAACAGUUAUUGCACUGGUGUUGCUGGAAUUGAGGCAGCUGAGUCAGCUGCCAAUCUAAUGAAGGCAAAUAUUGACCGCAAAGCAGCCUCUGAAGAGACCAUAGCUCCAACUGAAGAGAAAAGGCUUGCUACUUGGGGAGCUGAUAUACCUGAAGACUUGGUGCUUGACCAGAAAAAACUCGGUGAUGCUCUUAAGAAGGAGGAUGAGAGAAGGAAGGAAGAGAAGGAAGGAAGAGAGUGCAAAUAUAAUGUCACAUGGAAUGAUGAGGUUACUCCGGAGGAGAUGGAGGCAUAUCGGAUGAAAAAGGUACAUCAUGAUGACCCGAUGAAAGAUUUUGUGCACUAGGUCAGCUAUGUCAUCUGGAUAGUGUAAGCUUCAGACUCAUUUAGCAUCCUGUCUGAUUUCCAAUUCUUCUUAGCCAUUGUCAUAUUGUGAAAGGAAACGAAUUCACUUUUCAAAAAAGGAAAAUGAAUUCAAAUCUUUCUGAUUGAUAAUGGACUCAGAUCUUUCAUAAAUAGAAUGAUGCCAAAUGCUUCUUUUCUGCAUAAUACCCUGUUUAGGGGAAAUGGAGCCUAAGAAUAUAGUAACCUUAAAUAAACCAACACACAUAUAGGAAGGACAAUUAAAGAGACCAGAACAUAUAUCAUUGAUAAAGACCAUAUCAGACCAACAUGAGUAGACUCAGAUGCCACCAGGAUUGGUGAUCUCUACCAAAGCUGUCGUAUCUUGAGCUGAAGCUCCCAUUGCUGUUUAAAGACUGCAAUUCUGCCUCAUUUCUUUUCUUUGUUCAAGCGAACGAGUGAAAAUGCUUGUUCCAAAGCCUCUGCUGAUGUUUUAUAGAGGGUUAAAUAUAGUUUAGUAUUUUGAACUUUAGAGCUGUAGUUAGUUUGGUUCCUGAACUUCUUAAAAAAUAAACGUGUCAAACCCACUAACACUCUUUAACAUAUAAUCAGCAAUUGGAGAUAGAUGCAUGGCCUUGUGUAGUGUCCUGUCACACAUGAAAACGUCAACCAAAGGCAAUAUAAGACGAUCCGAGGGCAAUAAUAGACACUGCCCACCACACCAGUGGAUUAGGUUGUCAUAUCCCCCAAAGGAGUGUCACACUACUGACACUUGUUUGUAACUACCAAUCUUGCCAAUCUUAAUUCCGCAGAUCUAUUUAUAAACAAAAACCUUAACUGGAAAACAGAAGAAACAAUUAAUGUCAAAAACGUAGGUAGGUGGAUGGAACAUAAGCGAAGAACAAUGGAGAGUUGAGCAUGCAAAACAAUCUUGGAUAAAAAUUUGAACACCCCCUCCCCCCCCCCCCAACCAAACUAUCUCCCUGCAGUCCUCUUUAGCUAUGCUCCUUCUAGCCACCUAACAUUCAUUCACAACGAUGGAGCUGCGCUUCUUUCUUUUUGGUCAACUGCUUGCAUCUCGUAAUGUGUACACUACAAUAUUUAGUAUUUUCCAUGGGAAUGGAGCUUGGUUAUAUAUAUUGUGCAUAAAUAUACGUGAUUUUUAUGUGAAAAUUGUUUUUUACCAUUGGAUUCAAAUUUUGAAUAAGGUACUACAGGUUUAUAUUACAUUUAUCUAUAUAAAAUCACAUAUUUGAAUGAGACUUUGGUUACAUGGACUAAAUUAACUUGUAUUAUUCCUUCUAAGUAUACAGUGUAACUUCUAUGAGAUUUUGCAUUGAACAUAAAGUUAUGAUAUUUAAAAUGGAUGAGUAAUAAACUAAUGAAGCAGGGGAUGAAUAGACCUUGAG